UACGAAGGGGGCUAGCGUUGCUCGGAAUCACUGGGCGUAAAGGGCGCGUAGGCGGACUUUUAAGUCGGGGGUGAAAGCCCAGGGCUCAACCCUGGAAUUGCCUUCGAUACUGAGAGUCUUGAGUUCGGAAGAGGUUGGUGGAACUGCGAGUGUAGAGGUGAAAUUCGUAGAUAUUCGGAAGAACACCAGUGGCGAAGGCGACAUACUGGUCCGUUACUGACGCUGAGGCUCGAAAGCGUGGGGAGCAAACAGG
Molecule: ribosomal RNA, 253 nt
Filed under: uncultured bacterium
Lineage: Bacteria
Description: partial 16S ribosomal RNA
Rfam family: Bacterial small subunit ribosomal RNA
Source: RNAcentral